This 261-nucleotide ribosomal RNA is filed under the name uncultured archaeon. Its description in RNAcentral is "partial 16S ribosomal RNA". It matches the Rfam family "Archaeal small subunit ribosomal RNA", at positions 748 to 1008 of the family's 1478-position model. The record is from RNAcentral.
CAGCUGUAAACAAUGUGCGUUAGGUGUGUCGGUAACCACGUGUUACUGAUGCGCCGAAGAGAAAUCGUGAAACGCACCACCUGGGAAGUACGGUCGCAAGGCUGAAACUUAAAGGAAUUGGCGGGGGAGCACCACAACAGGUGGAGCCUGCGGUUUAAUUGGAUUCAACGCCGGACAUCUCACCGGAUAAGACAGCUGAAUGAUUGUCAAUCUGAAGGUUUUACAUGACUAGCUGAGAGGUGGUGCAUGGCGUCAGUGACU